ACCACCCACGCGGGAGAGACCGCCCAGCAGCACCCGGGCGGCGCCGAAGGGGCAGAUUCCUCCCCGGAACCUCUCAGGCAAAAGGACCUCGUGGGCAGG
This 99-nucleotide non-coding RNA is filed under the name Micromonospora rhizosphaerae. RNAcentral's name for it is "Glycine sequence". It matches the Rfam family "Glycine riboswitch aptamer". Rfam says of the family: This family represents the bacterial glycine riboswitch. The record is from Rfam by way of RNAcentral. Lineage: Bacteria; Bacillati; Actinomycetota; Actinomycetes; Micromonosporales; Micromonosporaceae.